RNAcentral lists this ribosomal RNA (350 nucleotides) under Diaulota aokii. RNAcentral's name for it is "partial 12S ribosomal RNA". The record is from RNAcentral. Lineage: Eukaryota; Metazoa; Arthropoda; Insecta; Coleoptera; Staphylinidae.
UAAAAUGUAAAAUUAUUUUAUUAAAUUAUUAUAAGUUAUGAUCUUUAAAGUUAAAAAAUUUGGCGGUAUUUUAGUCUUUUCAGAGGAACCUGUCCUAUAAUUGAUAAUCCACGAUUAGAACUACUUAUUUUAAAAAUUUGUAUAUCGUUGUAAUUGAAUAUUUUAAAAGAAUAUUUAAUAUUCAAAAUUUUUUAUAAAAAUAUAAAUCAGAUCAUGGUGCAGUUUAUAAUUAAGAAGAGAUGGGUUACAAUAAAGUUAUUUAUGGUUUUUUAAUUUAAAAAUUAAAAAUAAAUUGGAUUUGAAGGUAAUUUAGUUAAUUUAAAUUAAAUGAUUUUAGCUCUAAAAUAUGC